GUCAUUUCGGUAUAUCUAUAUAACAGCUGAUGCGUGCGCCGUGCGUAUUUUACUUCGAUAGGGCUUAUUUAGGAAAUAAUAAAUAAACUACUCAAACUAUGGCGUUAAGAAAUUCAGUUUUAAAGUUAGCUAAACUAGGUCGUCCUAGCAGUCAUAUGCGACUACGAGCUCUAAGUACCCAGACUUCUGAAAAGAUCAACGAAGGCGAAAAAUCUAAACAGACUCAUUUCGGCUUCCAGACGGUCGAUGAGCAAGAGAAGUGGAAAAAAGUACACAAUGUGUUUGAAACAGUAGCGGACAAGUAUGAUGUAAUGAAUGAUGCCAUGUCGCUGGGCAUCCACCGACUGUGGAAGGACAUCUUCAUGCAGCGGCUGGCUCCUACGCAUGGGACCAAGCUUUUGGAUGUAGCUGGAGGCACAGGGGACAUUACAUUCCGGUACAUAAACUAUCUGAAAAACCUGGGUCCUGCGCCAGAGGGCAGGCGGAGCGUUGUCACAGUCUGCGAUAUCAACCAAGCCAUGCUGGAUGUGGGCAAAGUCAGGGCACAAAGGCAAGGAUAUACCCCAGAGUCGUGCGGGGUAGACAUCGACUGGGUGUGUGGAGACGCGGAAAAACUCCCGCAUGCUGAUGACAGCUACACAGCCUACACCAUCGCUUUUGGCAUCCGGAACUGCACACAUAUUGAUAAGGUGCUGGAGGAGGCGUACCGCGUGCUGGCGCCGGGCGGCCGCUUCGUGUGCCUGGAGUUCAGCCGCCUGCCCAGCGAGGCGCUGCAGUGGCGAGUCGUCCUUAACAUUACUACCCAAAAUUCAAAAUUUUAUUCUGCAAGGCGUACGACCAAUACUCGUUCCAAGUGAUCCCAGUGCUGGGGCAGCUCAUAGCUGGCCAGUGGAAGCCCUACCAGUACCUGGUUGAGAGCAUACGUCAGUUCCCUAACCAGGAGAAGUUCAAGUCCAUGAUCGAAGACGCCGGCUUCAGACAGGUCACCUACGAAAACCUAACCUUCGGCGUCACCGCCAUACACUCGGGAUUCAAGAUCUAACUACCAGGGAACUUGUUGAACUAUUUUAUUGAACCCUUUGGAUGCCAAGAACACCUAGACUAAGUUAAUUUUGCAGCGACUAGAACAGAAAGUGAGGAGCGUCAUUAUGAACGUAUUUUCAUAUACCUAAAUUUGGCAUUAAUUGUGACAUUGCCACACUUUGUAAUUGCAAAUGCCUUCAGAGUGAGAUUGGUUAGACGCGAGACUCAAAUGACGUUUCAAUGUGAGACUUAGCAGACCAAAACCACUCCCUGUAGGUACAUGACCACACUAUUGACUGCUUGGUACUUUUUUAUAUGAUAGUUUAUAUUAUUUAAUAAAAAUAAGAGUAAAUCUGUUCGAUAA
Cydia pomonella (codling moth) is the source of this 1387-nucleotide RNA transcript. It is a transcript of the gene named 2-methoxy-6-polyprenyl-1,4-benzoquinol methylase, mitochondrial, with no coding region annotated. The record is from RefSeq and is a predicted model, not a curated record. Lineage: Eukaryota; Metazoa; Arthropoda; Insecta; Lepidoptera; Tortricidae. The transcript is spliced from 7 exons.